This 386-nucleotide ribosomal RNA is filed under the name uncultured bacterium. RNAcentral describes it as "bacterial SSU rRNA". It matches the Rfam family "Bacterial small subunit ribosomal RNA", at positions 28 to 414 of the family's 1533-position model. The record is from RNAcentral.
GACGAACGCUGGCGGCGUGCUUAACACAUGCAAGUCGAGCGGUAAGGCCCUUUCGGGGGUACACGAGCGGCGAACGGGUGAGUAACACGUGGGUGACCUGCCCUCAGCUCUGGGAUAAGCCUGGGAAACCGGGUCUAAUACUGGAUAUGACUCCAUGACGCAUGUUGUGGGGUGGAAAGCCUUGUGCGGCUGAGGAUGGGCCCGCGGCCUAUCAGCUUGUUGGUGGGGGUGANGGCCUACCAAGGCGACGACGGGUAGCCGGCCUGAGAGGGCGACCGGCCACACUGGGACUGAGACACGGCCCAGACUCCUACGGGAGGCAGCAGUGGGGAAUCUUGCGCAACGGGCGAAAGCCUGACGCAGCGACGCCGCGUGAGGGAUGACGG